ACUCAAAUAUAAAAAUCUAGACUUAUUCAAAUCUAGAAGAAACCAUAAAUACUUAUGUUUCUCUCUUCCCUCAUCCGUGACCUUCCCCACCACAACCAUUUCCGCCUCAUUCACCACCAUCAUACACCUAACGCCGCUCAUUGUUCCCAUCACCACCCCACAUUUCCUCUCAAAACCCUAGAUGUCGUCGUCCCACCGCAACUCUGUUUUGUACGACAAUCGCAUCCACCAUCCAUAAGCCCUAAUGUUGGUGCACCGACCAUUCCCAAUAACUUGCGCCUGCCCCAAUGUUACCUGUUACAAAAUCGUGAAUCCCAGCUACUACAACCAAACACCGUCUCCGAACAUCCUCCACUCUUUAUCUUUGUCUCUAUCUAAAAACCACCGCACCACCACCAUUGUCGAACAUCCACUUUGUAUCUACUCAGUUUGAAUCUCUUUACCGGAAGCAAAAUAAGGUACCAAAAAAUUUGGUUUGGCUAAUAGGGGGAUUUAGGGCGCCGAUAGUUUCCAGUGUCCCAACUUUUGCAAAGGUAGAGGCGGAAUGGUGGGGAUUGGGGUUUCGUUGUACAACCACUUGGUCUGAUAUGGUGCCUCCUAUUAAUAUGUGGAAUCCUUCGUCAGCCACCACCUUCACUACUCUCCGCAACAAAAGCAGCCCUGGAAGCAAGCACUAAAACUCGGUUAAGAGGAGAAUUAGAUCAUGUUCGUGUUUCCCUUUCCAUUUCCUUUAUCCAUUGUACAUAAAAACCCUUAUUUUUUUUUUUGUUUUUUGUUGAAGGUAUUAUUUUAGUAUGAUGCUCAUGGCUUUUUCUAGGUUUACAGGUGCAUCUUUCUUAUUUUUAGUUGAAAGGGUAUACACAAUCAAAUUAUGAAAGGUACCAUGUGGAACCUGGAAGUUUCUGAAAUGUAGAAAUGGAGAUUAGGAAAGACUACCCAAAGCCUUGAUUAUCACAAGGAAGGAAGGUUACGGGAUGUUAAAGAGAGUGUACAUGCAAGAAAACUUAAAAGGACAUAACAAGGUUUGCUUUUUUCCAUAAGGACAUAAUAAGGUUUGCUUAGUUUCAUCAAUAUGUUUUUAUUGUGACAAGCAACUAAACCGGGCUGAUUUAAAAAUUCUUGUAGUCCAUUUCCUCAUUGAGAUGUUCAUGUUUUUUGUUUUUUAUUUGCCUUGCAUUAUCAUUCUAGCCCUUACCUUUUAUGUCCAUGUUUAGUUGAGUACAUUUAAGAAAAGUUUUGAUGAAAAUAAUGAGAUGAAUUCAAAUCUUAUAAAGCAAAAUUGUUAGGUUUUACACCUUAUUUUGUUGGUCUUCCAUUGCUUUCUUCUUUUCCACUUUCAAUAUUCCUAAUUUUUAUAUCCGAUUCAAUUAGGUAGAGAUGGAAGUAACCAAAAGUUCUUGAAUACAAUUCUUUUUUAAUUGAAUUUGUUUUUUUUUUUUCGUUUUUUUUGUAAGAUUUAGGGUCAGUUUGCAUAACAUUCUCUCAGUGAUGAACACUAUAAGUAGGUCUCCUUCCCCCAUUGUAUGUUUUCUGAAUAAUACAUAAUAAUCUUCGUAAUCCACCUAUCGUUCCCCUUUUUUUUACUUAUGUUUUUUGAUUGCUUCUCUUUUGAUUUGGUGAUGUCAGACCUCUGGAACCUGGAUUCAAAUGGUAUGUGAAACCAAUUCUAGAUUUUCACCCCUCAAAGUUUCAACUUUUUUGCUUAUAAUAUUUGAAAUGUUGCAAAAAGAGGUUCAAAAUAAAUGAGCUUGAAGUUUUAGUUAGGGAAUCACUUUCGAGCAUCGAUGAAGAUGUAUAGAUCGAUAUGCAUUGUUUCUUUCAUGGGGGUUGCAGGGGAUAUUUUAAAUUUGUGAAGUAUAAAUGUUAAAGCGGCAACACCUUUGCAUUUGGCUGCAAGUGAAAUACGUAUUGAAUGUAUUCAUUUACAUCAAGAGAAAUGUGUUGAGAAAAGAAACAAAAAAGUAAUAUCAAAUACUCCAUUGUGGGAUUUGUGUGAAAACUAUAUUGUUAGAGAUUAACAAAAUAACAUAAUCCAAAUAAAAUGUGCUAUUUGUUUUA
Non-coding RNA from Lactuca sativa (garden lettuce), 2058 nucleotides. NCBI's taxonomy places the organism in Eukaryota, Viridiplantae, Streptophyta, Magnoliopsida, Asterales, Asteraceae. The record is from RefSeq and is a predicted model, not a curated record.